UGAAGAUAGAACAUCAAGUUCUGUUCACCAAGCCUGUCAUAAAGAACACUGCCUGCUGGAAAAACAUAGAUGGCAAAUGCUUCUACUCCUCCUUCCCUGGAGAAAAGGACUUUUUUAUGACCUUGAGUUUUGCUAACCUGUAACCCCAUGAAAAACAACUUGAUAACAAGGAAACAAAGAAAUGGUGAACUUUGCAAGUGUCAGUGUCUUGAACUUAUGGAGCUGAAUCACAGCCUCUUCAUUCUGGAAAGUGAUAGUUCAUAGAGAUGAUGAACAAUACAACUGUCUUCUCCAUUAAAGUAUUGAAAACCACAGCCUGAAAGCAGCCGCGAUUAAAUCACAAGCUCUCACCAUGGACUCAGUCGAAAAUUCUGAUUUAUAAGGUGAGAGAGGCCAAGUGACAAAGCAGCAGCCACCAAUUAUACCAGAGAAGUGGCAGUUGACUUAUCAUGCACUGUGUGUUUUGCUAAUAUGCAAUAAUAUUUAAGGAUCCAUGAACCAGCCCCAGAGUAAAAACGUACAAUUGACAGAGGCUUGACUGCUAUCUCUUCCCGUUUUUUUUUUUUUAUCUGCAAUAAUAUUCUCAUCAAAAUUCAGUGGCAAUUCUUAACAUUUUACUAGGAAAUUAAACUGAAGACCAGGUGAGUUGUUUCAGUAAAUUAGAAAUUGUAACAGUGCAUCAAUUUCCUUCCAUUUCUCUUGAAUCCAUACUGCUUUGUUAUUUUCAAGUUAAAAUCCUUUAUUUCUUUAACAGUUGUUUAUUCCCUUAUUCAUUACUACAAAAAUGUCUCAGACGCUAUAGAUAUAGAACCUAGUAAGAUGAGGCACCUGACCUCAAAGGGUUUUAAGCUAAUUGGGUAAAUCGAUAGUUAGUGUAAGUGCUACAUGAAAAAGCAAUUGUGCCCAAUGGCUCCUUUUCAAUAACUUUUGUCAAAUGUGACCCUUGGAACAUCAUGUCUAUAAGUUUACCUAAUUAGUUGGUGUGGGAUAAAAAAAAAUGAAAUUUCUAAAGCAUUAUUGUCAAUAGAUCCAUAAUAGUGGAUUUAGUGCCCUGAAAGUGCCCUCAGUUUUUAAAAACCUGAGGAAAGUCACUUUUACUAAGUCACUCAACCUUCCUAGCCCCACCUCUGCCACCUGAAAAAAUAUAGGGAACAAUUAUUGAACAAUCUCCUUUGACAGUUUUGCAGUUUUCUGACGAAUGGAUGCUUCCAAGUCCCCAUUGUUUACCAUCUCCUCAGACAGGACUCAGUUAAUGAAAUGGCUAAUUAGAUUUCUGUAAUCCUGGAGUCAUUGUGUGUGAGGUGACAUUUUGUCAGCAGUCCUCCUGUGGCUCCUUCAGUGUGAUAGGGAACAUUUUCCCUUAGCCAACUUGGCUUUAGUUGUUUUGCUGGAAUGGCAGUUCCCUCUGUUGGUGUAAUGAAAUCAUUGCCCUCACAAAUACAGCUCUGCUACUCAGCAUUUACAUAGAAAAGAAUAGGAAAAUGAUCAUCUGAUUAGUCAAACAGGCCCAUGUUCAAAAUCCAUUUCCACAAUCAAAUAA
Sus scrofa (pig) is the source of this 1540-nucleotide non-coding RNA. The record is from RefSeq and is a predicted model, not a curated record. Lineage: Eukaryota; Metazoa; Chordata; Mammalia; Artiodactyla; Suidae.